RNAcentral lists this long non-coding RNA (676 nucleotides) under Fragaria vesca (wild strawberry). RNAcentral describes it as "long non-coding RNA (FVES_LNC003858)". The record is from RNAcentral. Lineage: Eukaryota; Viridiplantae; Streptophyta; Magnoliopsida; Rosales; Rosaceae.
UUCUGGUAUAACGGUAAUACAGUAUUAACAAAAGUCAGUUCAAAAGAAGAAUAACUCAUUUAGAAAAAUAAAUCCUGGCAUUUAUCUUUGUGAACAGAAUUGCUAUGAACUUCAUAGCAACAAAACAUAUCAGAUGUCAACUAAUGAACCUACUCAGUAAAGCACUGAUAAAAGCUGAUUUCCCAACAUUUGCGGAGCCCUGUAGCAAAAGGUAAGCUAAACUAUCAGAUGCAAACGCAUUUUUUAUAGGUCAAUGCAAACGCAUUUUUUAUAGGUCAAUCCAAGUAUGCACCAACUAGAGGAUAAUCGAUACAGAAGGCAAAACAAGAUAUGACAACUCUUUUGUUUUACUUCCUUUUACAAGCAUACUCAAAUAGAAAUCAGCAACAUGACUUGACUGGGCAUGAAAGAUUUUCAUGGAUAAAAUACCAGUAAAAAAGCAUGUGCUGAUUCAAAAUCUUAUUGAAGUUCCAUACAGUCAACAGGUUAAAAUCUCAAAUGUGAUUGAGAAUCAAAUCAAAUUCAUAGCAGUUCACAAGAAACCACACACUCCAAGAGCAAGGAUAAGUAGAAAAAAAAAUUCAGGUUCUGAGAAGUGUUAAAUUCACUUGACAAAACCAAUACUCAGUACUAAGUAAGUAAACUUCCAGAGUUCCCAUCAAGAAGCUCACCAUAA